GUGAGAUAUAGUCUCAAAUGCUGCUGAAAGUUUGAGAAGGAACUCCUUUCCGUAAUCACGAAACUAUCAUUCUGAAUCACCUCUUAAAAACAUCAUCUGCAGUGACAUAAUAACAUUCCUUAGAAGUGGCUACUGUUGCAACAAUCUGUCUCCUUAAACCUUAUCACAGCGCAAGGCUUUUGAGAAGCAACGCAUGACAGCCACCGGGAAAUCUUCACAGCAAGAUGAGGUCUCACAAUCAAUGGCCGCCUGUGAGGAGCCACACGUACACGCUGCACUGACAAUGUCACAGCUCGCUUCUGCCUGUGAACUACACCCUUGCCUUUUGCUUCCCCACACAGGCUCU
This 346-nucleotide long non-coding RNA is filed under the name Pan troglodytes (chimpanzee). RNAcentral describes it as "long non-coding RNA NONPTRT004424". The record is from RNAcentral. Lineage: Eukaryota; Metazoa; Chordata; Mammalia; Primates; Hominidae.